RNAcentral lists this ribosomal RNA (333 nucleotides) under Triticum aestivum (bread wheat). RNAcentral's name for it is "partial small subunit ribosomal RNA". Lineage: Eukaryota; Viridiplantae; Streptophyta; Magnoliopsida; Poales; Poaceae. The record is from RNAcentral.
AUCCAUCAUCUUCUCGCUACAUGUGUCUUCUCUUGCGAGGUGUGGCUCCGCACUCUGGCUUGGUGCAAACUCACCGUCCACCCACCGGACGACAACCUUACCCUCUGCGAUUGGUGGCGAGACGCUUCAACCUCUGUUCCCUCCUCGCUUCGCAAAGCAUUGGCGCUGAUCGUACCUCUGGUCACUUGGGCCAUUUGGAAACACCGCAAUGCCUACAUCUUCGACCACCGGCAACCCUCGAUUGGUUGCUUAUUCUCCUCCAUCCAGGAUGACGAGCGCGCUUGGACCAACGCCGGCGCCAAAGGGCUACAAGCUGUAAUUGACGCGCUAUAA